AUGAACGCUGGCGGCGUGCCUAAUACAUGCAAGUCGAGCGAACAGAUGAGGAGCUUGCUCCUCUGACGUUAGCGUCGGACGGGUGAGUAACACGUGGAUAACCUACCUAUAAGACUGGGAUAACUUCGGGAAACCGGAGCUAAUACCGGAUAAUAUAUUGAACCGCAUGGUUCAAUAGUGAAAGACGGUUUUGCUGUCACUUAUAGAUGGAUCCGCGCCGCAUUAGCUAGUUGGUAAGGUAACGGCUUACCAAGGCAACGAUGCGUAGCCGACCUGAGAGGGUGAUCGGCCACACUGGAACUGAGACACGGUCCAGACUCCUACGGGAGGCAGCAGUAGGGAAUCUUCCGCAAAGGGCGAAAGCCUGACGGAGCAACGCCGCGUGAGUGAUGAAGGUCUUCGGAUCGUAAAACUCUGUUAUUAGGGAAGAACAAAUGUGUAAGUAACUAUGCACGUCUUGACGGUACCUAAUCAGAAAGCCACGGCUAACUACGUG
Molecule: ribosomal RNA, 496 nt
Filed under: uncultured bacterium
Lineage: Bacteria
Description: partial 16S ribosomal RNA
Rfam family: Bacterial small subunit ribosomal RNA
Source: RNAcentral